Molecule: ribosomal RNA, 459 nt
Filed under: uncultured bacterium
Lineage: Bacteria
Description: partial 16S ribosomal RNA
Rfam family: Bacterial small subunit ribosomal RNA
Source: RNAcentral
CCUACGGGUGGCUGCAGUGAGGAAUAUUGGUCAAUGGUCGGGAGACUGAACCAGCCAAGCCGCGUGAGGGAGGAAGGUACAGAGUAUCGUAAACCUCUUUUGUCAGGGAACAAAGACUGGGACGCGUCCCCGGAUGAGUGUACCUGAAGAAAAAGCAUCGGCUAACUCCGUGCCAGCAGCCGCGGUAAUACGGAGGAUGCGAGCGUUAUCCGGGUUUAUUGGGUUUAAAGGGGGCGCAGGCGGUCUGGUAAGUCAGCGGUCAAAGCCCGGGGCUCAACCCCGGCCCGCCGUUGAAACUGGCAGUCUUGAGUUGGAGAGAAGUAUGCGGAAUGCGCGGUGUAGCGGUGAAAUGCAUAGAUAUCGCGCAGAACUCCGAUUGCGAAGGCAGCAUGCCGGCGCCAGACUGACGCUGAGGCACGAAAGCGUGGGGAUCGAACAGGAUUAGAUACCCGGGUAGUC